AAAAAGCCACCGAGAGCCCCGGAGCUGCAGAGGACACAGGAGUCACCCGGGAGGGUGGCACAGCUGCAGCCCCCAGCCCCGAGCAGGGCAGGGCCGGGCUGUGACAGCCCCGCACCGCCCCAAAAUCCCGGGAAGGGCGGGUUCAGAGCCCGCGGUGCCGCCCGGAGCCCUGGGGACCAAAGGGCGGCGUUGGUGCUGCUGAGAUGAGCGCAGGGCUGGGGCGGGCACGGACCCUCCGCUCCCUGGAACCGGCGGGGACAGGACGUGACACUGCCGGGAUUUUCCAUGGGAAAUGUCACACCAGCACCAAGAGCUGGGCAGGCCCACGCUGCUGGAGCAGCCCACGCUGAGCUGAACCAGACCAGGGAUGCUCAUCUGGCACAGCCUCUCCCCUCAGCAGGAUUUAACCAUGCAGAGAGCAAAACUCAUCAAUCCUCCAGGUUUAACCUUGUCUCUGUUUCAAUUCACCAGGGAUUUCCUGCUACGUACCCCCCUCUGCUUGCAGCAAGACACACUUUCACAAAGCAACUGCACUGAAGGGAGAAUGCUGAUGGGGAAAGUGCACCAGGCCUGCCUGGAUCCAAGGGAAAGGCUCUAAUCCAAACCUCACUGGCAGCUGGAU
Long non-coding RNA from Corvus hawaiiensis (hawaiian crow), 622 nucleotides. RefSeq lists it as uncharacterized. The record is from RefSeq and is a predicted model, not a curated record. The transcript is spliced from 3 exons. NCBI's taxonomy places the organism in Eukaryota, Metazoa, Chordata, Aves, Passeriformes, Corvidae.